GUGCCCUGCAGCUGCAAAGUAAAAAAGUCGCAGACAGCUUUUACACCCUCUGUGUUUGAAGUUGGAAUCAUGUCUCUAUAAGAGCCAUAAAAAUAAUUAUGCAUGAGGGCAGGCAAUUCUCACUUGUAAUAUUUGUAUUAAAAAAGGCCAUCUGUAUUUACAAACUUGUGCUAAGGUAUCCAAGAAGCACAAGAAAUAGCAGAUUAAAUGCUGAGGGCAGGCUCUUAGAAACAGGCCUCUAUUUACUGUCCAGAACUUUUAAUAUAACAGAAUACAUCCAAUGCUUGAAGUUCUAUUUAAUUCCACCACUCUACUGUAAUGCAGAUGACCAACUCAUGCAAUGGUUCACUAAUCAGAGGACCAUCUAUGGAAAGGUCACCGCACUUGGGACCAAAACAGGGUUAGCCGGCAGCGCACUGACAGAGAGGAAUAGGUGGAUCGAGAAGAAGUGGCGGUUCCUAUCGGGGCAUAUUGUGCGUGUAGUGACCAGGACUAGCGCACCCAAGGUACUUUGAUCACAACAAAUUUUUGAGGUCAUGAGGCUCUGGACACUAUGUCUAAAUGGUUUUAUGUGAUUCCUACAGGAACAAGACAUCAUUGGGCAUUCGUCCGAUGAUCCUGUGGAAGGGACUUCCACGCCGAGGCCAUCCACCAGGCAACAGCACCGCAGUAGGCACAUUUCCAGCAUCGACCUCACCACACCCGGAGGUGCUAAAGAAGGGACAGAUGGAAACAGCAUUAAAACUCUCAUUAAUACUGUUCGAGACGGUAUUAAAUUGUUGGUGGAAGGACGCCUGAGACCGAACAGCUUUACGCAGAGGGCAGUAGACUUCUGUCAAGCUAUUAUGGAAGAAGAAAUAAAUGAAGGACAAUGGGAUUUUGUAUGGAAUAUGAUCAAUGGGGCAAUCACUGUGCGAAAUAAAAAGAGACACUCACCAUCACCACUGAUGUCUACAGAGCAGCAGCCUGCUAGAAAUCCACCUUUGCCUUUUGUUUACGGAGAGGGCCGUGCACAAACACCAUUACAAGAAGGGGCAGAUUGUUUCGCUGACGUCAGUGACUCCAGUUAAACCUCGGACGGACGUUGAGAAUUAUUUAUGUGGUGUUUAAUUAACCGUUUGAGUUUUAGUUUAUUUUAGUUGUUGGCCACUCAACAUUUGGUGUGACAUCUAGAGCCCUUUAUAAAUGUCUGUAUGUUAAUAUGUGUGUCUUUUCCUCUUGGGCAUUACUUUGUUUCUGUUGGUGGCUCCACAUUUUAUGAUAGCCUGAAGUGUGAUAAAGCUUUUACCUCAGCAGUUUGAUUGUCAGUGCUUGUUUACCUCAUUGUUAAAUAAAUAUAUUUUUUACUAUCAGCUUGAUGUCUGCAAUUCUUCAUUAACACAUCACUACA
Molecule: long non-coding RNA, 1390 nt
Organism: Leucoraja erinaceus (little skate)
Lineage: Eukaryota; Metazoa; Chordata; Chondrichthyes; Rajiformes; Rajidae
Exons: 3
Source: RefSeq, a predicted model, not a curated record